AACAAGAAUAAAAAUAAGAACAACAACAAGAACAACAAGAAUAAUAACAAGAACAAUAAGAACAACAAGAACAAUAAGAACAAUAAGAACAACAAGAACAAAAAUAAAAAUAACAAGAACAACAACGCCAACAACGACAACAACAACAAAAAUAACAAAAACAACAAGAACAACAAGAACAAAACAACUACAACAACAAUAACAAAAUAAAUAAU
This 215-nucleotide long non-coding RNA is filed under the name Lathyrus oleraceus (garden pea). Its description in RNAcentral is "Pisum sativum (pea) long non-coding RNA (PSAT_LNC029013)". The record is from RNAcentral. Lineage: Eukaryota; Viridiplantae; Streptophyta; Magnoliopsida; Fabales; Fabaceae.